GAAUGAAAACUGUGCGUUGUCCAUUAUGGCUCCUUCGUCUUAUUUACUUUCCAUGACGCCGUGGAAUUCAUUUCUAUAAACUCGCAUUUUCUGCAAAUGGCCUCAAAAGCCAAACCACUCAGAGAGAGGCACAUUGUUCCCUUACCAAAUUAAAACAAGGCAGCAACUUGCCUGUGCUUGGGAAUUUGUGAAGCAGGGAGAAGAAAAAGAAAAUGGCUGCUUUCCAUCUAGAGUGACAGUGCUGAGAAGUUGUGACAGAUGCCAUCUGGCCGGCAGUGUCUGAAGAUUUCCCAUCUGUUUCUGGAUAGCGAAAGUUUGCCAACCUUGUUUUCUCUGUACCCGGUUCGCAGGUCACCGCUGGCUCAUGACAUGGUGUGGCCCACAUUUGAGGGAGCUGAGGGCAGAAAUGAGCACAAGGAAUUAAUUAUCACCUUUGAUCACCAACCCAUCCUAGCAAGAAAGGUACAUCAGCCAGCAAUAUCCAGGCUGCCAUUGUUCCUGUUCCCUGACCUCAAAGAGUCCCUUGUUCAACUAUUAAAAGUGUGUUUCUAAACUCUAAA
Long non-coding RNA from Mesocricetus auratus (golden hamster), 560 nucleotides. RefSeq lists it as uncharacterized. The transcript is spliced from 4 exons. The record is from RefSeq and is a predicted model, not a curated record. NCBI's taxonomy places the organism in Eukaryota, Metazoa, Chordata, Mammalia, Rodentia, Cricetidae.